GAUGAAGAACGGAGCGAAAUGCGAUAAGUAAUGUGAAUUGCAGAAUUCAGUGAAUCAUCGAAUCUUUGAACGCACAUUGCGCCCGCCAGUAUUCUGGCGGGCAUGCCUGUUCGAGCGUCAUUUCAACCAUCAAGCCCCCGGGCUUGUGUUGGGGACCUGCGGCUGCCGCAGGCCCUGAAAACCAGUGGCGGGCUCGCUAGUCACUCCGAGCGUAGUAGUUACAUCUCGCUCAGGGCGUGCUGCGGGUUCCGGCCGUUAAAAGCCUUUUACCCCAAGGUUGACCUCGGAUCAGGCAGGAAGACCCGCUGAACUUAAGCAUAUCAAUAAGCGGAGGA
RNAcentral lists this unclassified non-coding RNA (335 nucleotides) under soil metagenome. RNAcentral describes it as "partial contains 5.8S ribosomal RNA, internal transcribed spacer 2, and large subunit ribosomal RNA". The stretch from base 1 to 120 matches the Rfam family "5.8S ribosomal RNA", at positions 35 to 154 of the family's 154-position model. The record is from RNAcentral.